This is a long non-coding RNA of Marmota monax (woodchuck), 3908 nucleotides long. RefSeq lists it as uncharacterized. Lineage: Eukaryota; Metazoa; Chordata; Mammalia; Rodentia; Sciuridae. The record is from RefSeq and is a predicted model, not a curated record. The transcript is spliced from 2 exons.
CCCUCAUCAUUAAACAAAACACAUGUAUAAAGAUGUGAGAAAGAAAGAAAGAAAGAGAAUAGCGUUACCUUAGAUUAGGUAGAGAGAAGUGAUGGGAGGGGAGGGGUUGGGAGGAUAGGAAGGAUAGUAGAAUGAAACAGACAUUACUAUUACUGUGUGUAUAUAUGUGACUGCAUGACCAAUGUGAUUCUGCAACCUGUACACUCAGAAAAAUGAGAAAUUAUAUCCCAUCUGAUUCAAAUGUAUGAUAUGUCAAGGUCAUCGUACUGUCAUGUGUAACUAAUUAAAACAAAAUAAAAAUAAAAUAUAUUAAAAAAAUAAAAUUGAUCAUGAUAAAAAACAAAACAAAAACGGGUCCCCUCGGGAAUGUGGAGGUUUAAAAGUAAGGGACAGAAAGUGGCAAAUAAUUAUGUACUCCUAGUCUUCUGUACCUGGUCUCAAGGCUAGCCCAUGGAAGCCUCCUCUGUAUUAGAUACUAGGGGUUCAGACCAAGUUUAUCUACCAAGAGUUCAGAAUUUAGGGACAAGGGGACAAAUGAUAAACCAGGAAUGAUGAAAGAAUGUUCUUUCUCAGGAGAGAGCAACUGCCUCUCCCUUGGCUGAGAGGAGAGAGUCAAGACACAUUUCACACAGAGGGGUGACAGACUUGGAAGUGCUACUAUGUCCCCUUUAAGGAAACAUUUGCUGCCUCAAGAAAUACAGUUAGCUGACUGCCUCUAGCUGUUAGGUUGUCUAGGACCUAGAUUUUGAACCAAAUCCAUGCUCUUCUCAGUGUGGCUCCUAGCUAGUGACUGGAAGCUAGGACCACCCAGUUCCACCCAGCACAGAACUCUUCUGGUAGGAAACCUUAGGUGCAGAUUUCCCUAUCCAGUUGAUGGAGACAUGUGGUAGGUCUGCAUUAUAGUCUGACACUCCCUCUGCCCAGUCCUGUUUUCUCCUCUUUUCUUUCACCAAUGUUAUUCCCAAUUACACUCUUUGUACUCCUAACUCCAUCUCAGGGGCAGCUUCCUGAAGAAUCAAAACUGUUAAUAAGUGAUACCAGAGCUGAGCCUUCAAAGAUAGUGGAGGACCUUUGGGUUAGGAAAGGACAGGGAAGAACAGGGCCCAUUGUCUAGAAGCAUUUUAUUCUUAUGUCAGAACUAGAAUAUGAAAAUUCUACCCUGGCCUUCACUUUUUCCCUUCCUUACUCUGACUCCAUGUCUCCCACCUACCUCCAGGGCUAUAGGCCUUAACUUCUCUGUGUUACAUGUUCAUUGCAAUAAUCUCUACAGCCUAGGGUCUGAGAACACUGAGAUAAAAAGUAUGUCAGGAGGGCUGGGGAUAUAGCUCAGUUGAAUGCAUAAAGCCCUGAGUUCAAUCCCCAGCAUACCCCCCCACCUCGAAAAAAAAAAAAAAAAAAUCUCAGGAACCACCUAGUAUUUUAUACCAUUAACACACAAAUAUAUUCUCACUGCAAAUAGAUUAAAUAUGAAAGCUACCUUUUAAGAAAUAACAGAUUUACAUCUGCCUUUUAAAAAGUGUAUAUUUCAAUAAUUUUUAGUAUAGAGACACAUGACCAUUACCACUAAUUUUAGAACAAUUUCAUAACCCCAAAAUUAAACUCUAUGCUCAUUAGCAAUUAUUCCCCCUUCCCAUAAUCCUUGGCAACCAUUAAUCUACUUCCUCUUUUUUGCCUUUUCUGAACAUGUCAUAAAAUUGAAUAAUAUAAUAUAUUGCCCUCUGUGACCACAUAUAUUUUCGAGGUUCACUCUUGUAAUGGCAUGUACCAGGACUUCACUUUCCUUUUUAUUGCCAAAUAAUAUACCAUAUUUGGUUGAUUCAUUAAUCAGCUGAUGGACUGCUUAUAUCUGUUUCUUGGCUAUAAUGCAUAGUACUGCUAUGAAUACUGGUAUGUAAGUUUUUGUGUGGAGCUGUGUUAUCACCUCUCUGAGGAAGACACCUAGGAGUGAAACUACUAAAUCAAUAUGGCAACUCUACGAGAAACUGCCAAACUCUUUAAAAUCUGGCUACACCUUUUUAUAUUUUCAUCAGCAUUGUAUAAGGAUUCUAACUUCUUCACAUCUUUGUCAACACUCAUUACCAGUUGUCUUUUUAAUUUAGCCAUCCCAGCGGGUGUGAAAUAGUAUCUCAUUGUGAUUUGAUUUGCAAUUUCCCAAUUACUAAUGAUGUGCUUAUUAGACACUGGCAUAUGUUCUUUGGAGAAAUAUUUAUUCCAAUCUUUUAUCCAUUUUAGAAAUUGAGGUAUUUGUCCUUAUCACUGAGGUUUAAGUUCCUUAUCAAAUAUGUGAUUUUAAAAAAAUUCUCCCAUUCUGUGCUUUGUUUUUACUUUAAUAUUGUCCUUUGAAUCCUAAGUUUCAAUUGGAUGAAAUCCCAUUUCCCUGUUUUUUUUUUUUUCUUUUCUUGCUUGUAUUUACAUCUAAGAUACCACUGCCUAGUCCAAGAUCAUGAAGAUUUACUCCUAAGUUUUCUUCUAGUUCUAGUUAUAAUUCUUACGUUUAACUCUACAGUCCAUUUUUGUAUAUGGUAUUUGGAACUUUGUUCUUUCAUGUGUGCAUUUCCAGUUUCCCCAGCACCAUUUGAAAAACAGAUUGCAUUUUGGAUGGUUUGAGAACCCUGGCUGAAAACCAGUUUACCACAAAAAAUAAACAUUUAUUUCUAUACUAUAUACGUAUACCUUUAUGCUAGUAUCACAGGAUAUGGAUUACUAUAGCUAUAUAAUCAAUUUUGAAAUCAAGAUAUGUGAAUUCUUGAUCUCUGUUCUUUUUCAAGAUUGUUUUGGGGGAGGGGUGCUUUGCAUUUCCUAUGAAUUUUAGGAUGAGUUGUUUUUUUUUUUUGCCCCAAAAGUACUAGGAUUUUUGAAAAAUAUUUAUUAAUUUUGGUUAGUGUUGUGAUAUUAACAAUAUCAGAUAAGUAAAAAAACUUUUUAAAUUGUCUUUUAUAAUUCCCUAGUUACUUUUAUUAAUAUUCUUUAUCUUCAUGCAAAUUUUAAUUUACAUCUAGCAUUCUGUUGUUUUAGUUGAAGGAUUUCCUUCACUAUGGCAGAUUUGCUAAUAAUGAAUACUCUAAGCUUUUAUUUAUCUGUGACUAUCCUAAUUUGUCUGUUUUCAAUGCUGGGGAUUGAACCCAGGGGCACUCUACCACUGAGCUGUAUCCCCAACAUUCUUUAUGUUUCAUUUUAAGACAGGGUCUCACUAAGAUGUCCAGGCUGGCCUUGAACUUGCAAUCCUCCUACCUUACUUUCCUGAGUUGCUGGAAUUAUACAUGUGUGUGUCACCACACUUGGCAAGAGAGGUACAUCUUUAGGCAGUUGCUUAUUUCUAAAAGAGCCUCUGAAUAUGUAACUUUGCACAGCAAGAGUCUUUGCAGGUCUGAUUCAGGACCUUGAGAUGGAGAGAAAAUCUUGGGUUAUCAUGAUUGUCAGUUUAAUCCAUGAAUCCAUAAAAAGGGAGAAUAAGGACAGAAGAAUAACUCAAAGAGAUGUACUGAAGAAGAAACAGGAGACAGCUCAACCAUGAAAAGAAUCGGACUUGGCAUUACUGGCUUUGUAGAUGGAGAAAAAGGGCCACAAACCAAGAAACGUGGCAUCCUCUGGAAGCUGGAGAUGGUCCUCAGUUGACAGUCAGCAAGGAAAUGGGUUGCAUACUUAGAAGAAAUUGAAUUCUGCCAACACUGCAAAUAAACCAGAGAACAGAUUCUCCUCUAGAGCCUUCUGAUACCUGGGUUUUAGCCUGGUGAGACCUUUGUCAGAAUCUGACCUACAUCUCUAUUAAACAGUGAAUCUAUAUUACCAAACUACCUAAAUUUGUGUUAAUUUUUGUCAGCAAGAGAAAACUGUACAGAUUUUCAGCUUGUUAUGUUGUAUGCAGUACUUUCAUAAUAAAACACCCUUCCUCUGUAUUUUUAAUUACA